CGGUGCAGGAUGAGCCCGCGGCCUAUCAGCUUGUUGGUGAAGGUAAUGGCUCACCAAGGCGACGACGGGUAGCCGGCCUGAGAGGGCGACCGGCCACACUGGGACUGAGACACGGCCCAGACUCCUACGGGAGGCAGCAGUGGGGAAUAUUGCACAAUGGGCGAAAGCCUGAUGCAGCGACGCCGCGUGAGGGAUGACGGCCUUCGGGUUGUAAACCUCUUUCAGCAGGGAAGAAGCGAAAGUGACGGUACCUGCAGAAGAAGCGCCGGCUAACUACGUGCCAGCAGCCGCGGUAAUACGUAGGGCGCGAGCGUUGUCCGGAAUUAUUGGGCGUAAAGAGCUCGUAGGCGGCUUGUCGCGUCGGUUGUGAAAGCCCGGGGCUUAACCCCGGGUCUGCAGUCGAUACGGGCAGGCUAGAGUUCGGUAGGGGAGAUCGGAAUUCCUGGUGUAGCGGUGAAAUGCGCAGAUAUCAGGAGGAACACCGGUGGCGAAGGCGGAUCUCUGGGCCGAUACUGACGCUGAGGAGCGAAAGCGUGGGGAGCGAACAGGAUUAGAUACCCUGGUAGUCCACCCCGUAAACGGUGGGCACUAGGUGUGGGCGACAUUCCACGUCGUCCGUGCGCGCAGC
Molecule: ribosomal RNA, 628 nt
Filed under: Streptomyces vinaceus
Lineage: Bacteria; Bacillati; Actinomycetota; Actinomycetes; Kitasatosporales; Streptomycetaceae
Description: bacterial SSU rRNA
Rfam family: Bacterial small subunit ribosomal RNA
Source: RNAcentral